Molecule: ribosomal RNA, 496 nt
Filed under: uncultured bacterium
Lineage: Bacteria
Description: partial 16S ribosomal RNA
Rfam family: Bacterial small subunit ribosomal RNA
Source: RNAcentral
GAUGAACGCUGGCGGCGUGCCUAAUACAUGCAAGUCGAGCGAACAGACGAGGAGCUUGCUCCUCUGACGUUAGCGGCGGACGGGUGAGUAACACGUGGAUAACCUACCUAUAAGACUGGGAUAACUUCGGGAAACCGGAGCUAAUACCGGAUAAUAUAUUGAACCGCAUGGUUCAAUAGUGAAAGACGGUUUUGCUGUCACUUAUAGAUGGAUCCGCGCCGCAUUAGCUAGUUGGUAAGGUAACGGCUUACCAAGGCAACGAUGCGUAGCCGACCUGAGAGGGGGAUCGGCCAACCUGGAACUGAGACCCGGUCCAGCCCCCUGAGGGAGGCAGCAGUGGGGAAUCUUCCGAAAUGGGCGAAAGCCUGACGGCGCAACCCCGCGUGAGUGAAGAAGGUUUUCGGACUGUAAAACUUUUUUAUUAGGGAAAAACAAAUGUUAAAGUAACUAUCCACCUUUUGGCGGUACCAAUUCAAAAAGCCCCGGCUAACUACGU